Molecule: ribosomal RNA, 683 nt
Filed under: Escherichia coli
Lineage: Bacteria; Pseudomonadati; Pseudomonadota; Gammaproteobacteria; Enterobacterales; Enterobacteriaceae
Also listed under: 1 other name
Description: bacterial SSU rRNA
Rfam family: Bacterial small subunit ribosomal RNA
Source: RNAcentral
AAGUCGACCGCCUGGGGAGUACGGCCGCAAGGUUAAAACUCAAAUGAAUUGACGGGGGCCCGCACAAGCGGUGGAGCAUGUGGUUUAAUUCGAUGCAACGCGAAGAACCUUACCUGGUCUUGACAUCCACGGAAGUUUUCAGAGAUGAGAAUGUGCCUUCGGGAACCGUGAGACAGGUGCUGCAUGGCUGUCGUCAGCUCGUGUUGUGAAAUGUUGGGUUAAGUCCCGCAACGAGCGCAACCCUUAUCCUUUGUUGCCAGCGGUCCGGCCGGGAACUCAAAGGAGACUGCCAGUGAUAAACUGGAGGAAGGUGGGGAUGACGUCAAGUCAUCAUGGCCCUUACGACCAGGGCUACACACGUGCUACAAUGGCGCAUACAAAGAGAAGCGACCUCGCGAGAGCAAGCGGACCUCAUAAAGUGCGUCGUAGUCCGGAUUGGAGUCUGCAACUCGACUCCAUGAAGUCGGAAUCGCUAGUAAUCGUGGAUCAGAAUGCCACGGUGAAUACGUUCCCGGGCCUUGUACACACCGCCCGUCACACCAUGGGAGUGGGUUGCAAAAGAAGUAGGUAGCUUAACCUUCGGGAGGGCGCUUACCACUUUGUGAUUCAUGACUGGGGUGAAGUCGUAACAAGGUAACCGUAGGGGAACCUGCGGUUGGAUCACCUCCUUACCUUAAAGAAGC